AACGAACGCUGGCGGCAUGCCUAACACAUGCAAGUCGAACGAGACCUUCGGGUCUAGUGGCGCACGGGUGCGUAACGCGUGGGAACCUGCCCUUAGGUUCGGAAUAACUCCCCGAAAGGGGUGCUAAUACCGGAUAAUGUCUUCGGACCAAAGAUUUAUCGCCUUUGGAUGGGCCCGCGUUGGAUUAGCUAGUUGGUAGGGUAAAAGCCUACCAAGGCGACGAUCCAUAGCUGGUCUGAGAGGAUGAUCAGCCACACUGGGACUGAGACACGGCCUAGACUCCUACGGGAGGCAGGAGUGGGGAAUAUUGGACAAUGGGCGCAAGUGUGAUACAGCAAUGCCGCGUGAGUGAUGAAGGCCUUAGGGUUGUAAAGCUCUUUUACCCGGGAUGAUAAUGACAGUACCGGGAGAAUAAGCACCGGCUAACUCCGUG
Molecule: ribosomal RNA, 433 nt
Filed under: uncultured bacterium
Lineage: Bacteria
Description: partial 16S ribosomal RNA
Rfam family: Bacterial small subunit ribosomal RNA
Source: RNAcentral